This 611-nucleotide ribosomal RNA is filed under the name Salmonella enterica subsp. enterica serovar Heidelberg. Its description in RNAcentral is "partial 23S ribosomal RNA". It matches the Rfam family "Bacterial large subunit ribosomal RNA", at positions 711 to 1318 of the family's 2925-position model. Lineage: Bacteria; Pseudomonadati; Pseudomonadota; Gammaproteobacteria; Enterobacterales; Enterobacteriaceae. The record is from RNAcentral.
AGACCCGAAACCCGGUGAUCUAGCCAUGGGCAGGUUGAAGGUUGGGUAACACUAACUGGAGGACCGAACCGACUAAUGUUGAAAAAUUAGCGGAUGACCUGUGGCUGGGGGUGAAAGGCCAAUCAAACCGGGAGAUAGCUGGUUCUCCCCGAAAGCUAUUUAGGUAGCGCCUCGUGAAUUCAUCUCCGGGGGUAGAGCACUGUUUCGGCUAGGGGGCCAUCCCGGCUUACCAACCCGAUGCAAACUGCGAAUACCGGAGAAUGUUAUCACGGGAGACACACGGCGGGUGCUAACGUCCGUCGUGAAGAGGGAAACAACCCAGACCGCCAGCUAAGGUCCCAAAGUCAUGGUUAAGUGGGAAACGAUGUGGGAAGGCCCAGACAGCCAGGAUGUUGGCUUAGAAGCAGCCAUCAUUUAAAGAAAGCGUAAUAGCUCACUGGUCGAGUCGGCCUGCGCGGAAGAUGUAACGGGGCUAAACCAUGCACCGAAGCUGCGGCAGCGACGCUGAUGCGUUGUUGGGUAGGGGAGCGUUCUGUAAGCCUGCGAAGGUGACCUGUGAGGGUUGCUGGAGGUAUCAGAAGUGCGAAUGCUGACAUAAGUAACGAUAAAGC